GUCCUGCAUGGGCUCUUUGUCGAAUGAGUUUGCAUUCCUCAAUCCAAUCUUUAAACUUCCGACAUCUAGAAUAACUCGCUGGAGCACCCCUCCAUUCACCUUUCGUUCCCAUAUGCAUCGGCUUUUUCUAAAUCGACAUAUCUAGGUUCUCCCAACCCAACAGGUUCCCUUUCUUUCGAAAUGGCAUUGCCAAAAGUCGAAUCAAAGGCUUGACAGGAGAGCUUCUCUUAGCCCUAUAGUCUUUCUCCG
RNAcentral lists this long non-coding RNA (249 nucleotides) under Nicotiana benthamiana. RNAcentral's name for it is "long non-coding RNA (NBEN_LNC031911)". The record is from RNAcentral. Lineage: Eukaryota; Viridiplantae; Streptophyta; Magnoliopsida; Solanales; Solanaceae.